RNAcentral lists this ribosomal RNA (611 nucleotides) under Salmonella enterica. RNAcentral's name for it is "partial 23S ribosomal RNA". It matches the Rfam family "Bacterial large subunit ribosomal RNA", at positions 2320 to 2925 of the family's 2925-position model. The record is from RNAcentral. Lineage: Bacteria; Pseudomonadati; Pseudomonadota; Gammaproteobacteria; Enterobacterales; Enterobacteriaceae.
GCUAAUCCUGGUCGGACAUCAGGAGGUUAGUGCAAAGGCAUAAGCUAGCUUGACUGCGAGAGUGACGGCUCGAGCAGGUGCGAAAGCAGGUCUUAGUGAUCCGGUGGUUCUGAAUGGAAGGGCCAUCGCUCAACGGAUAAAAGGUACUCCGGGGAUAACAGGCUGAUACCGCCCAAGAGUUCAUAUCGACGGCGGUGUUUGGCACCUCGAUGUCGGCUCAUCACAUCCUGGGGCUGAAGUAGGUCCCAAGGGUAUGGCUGUUCGCCAUUUAAAGUGGUACGCGAGCUGGGUUUAGAACGUCGUGAGACAGUUCGGUCCCUAUCUGCCGUGGGCGCUGGAGAAUUGAGGGGGGCUGCUCCUAGUACGAGAGGACCGGAGUGGACGCAUCACUGGUGUUCGGGUUGUCAUGCCAAUGGCAUUGCCCGGUAGCUAAAUGCGGAAGAGAUAAGUGCUGAAAGCAUCUAAGCACGAAACUUGCCCCGAGAUGAGUUCUCCCUGAGACUUAGAGUCUCCUGAAGGAACGUUGAAGACGACGACGUUGAUAGGCCGGGUGUGUAAGCGCAGCGAUGCGUUGAGCUAACCGGUACUAAUGAACCGUGAGGCUUAACCUU